Molecule: ribosomal RNA, 377 nt
Filed under: uncultured bacterium
Lineage: Bacteria
Description: bacterial SSU rRNA
Rfam family: Bacterial small subunit ribosomal RNA
Source: RNAcentral
AUACGUAGGGGGCGAGCGUUGUCCGGAGUUACUGGGCGUAAAGGGUGCGUAGGCGGCCCAUUAAGUCAGGUGUGAAAAACCCUGGCUCAACCGGGGUAUUGCACUUGAAACUGGUGGGCUUGAGUGCAGGAGAGGGAAGCGGAAUUCCUGGUGUAGCGGUGAAAUGCGUAGAUAUCAGGAGGAACACCAGUGGCGAAGGCGGCUUCCUGGCCUGUAACUGACGCUGAGGCACGAGAGCGUGGGGAGCAAACAGGAUUAGAUACCCUGGUAGUCCACGCUGUAAACGAUGGAUACUAGGUGUAGGGGGCGAUUUAGCCUUCUGUGCCGAAGUUAACGCAAUAAGUAUCCCGCCUGGGGAGUACGGCCGCAAGGUUGAA